CGGACGGGUGAGUAAUGUCUGGGAAACUGCCCGAUGGAGGGGGGUAACUACUGGAAACGGUAGCUAAUACCGCAUAAUGUCUACGGACCAAAGCGGGGGACCUCCGGGCCUCGCGCCAUCAGAUGAACCCAUAUGGGAUUAGCUUGUAGGUAAGGUAACGGCUUACCUAGGCGACGAUCCCUAGCUGGUCUGAGAGGAUGAUCAGCCACACUGGGACUGAGACACGGCCCAG
RNAcentral lists this ribosomal RNA (232 nucleotides) under uncultured bacterium. RNAcentral's name for it is "partial 16S ribosomal RNA". It matches the Rfam family "Bacterial small subunit ribosomal RNA", at positions 99 to 334 of the family's 1533-position model. The record is from RNAcentral.